Long non-coding RNA from Pomacea canaliculata, 3239 nucleotides. RefSeq lists it as uncharacterized. The record is from RefSeq and is a predicted model, not a curated record. NCBI's taxonomy places the organism in Eukaryota, Metazoa, Mollusca, Gastropoda, Architaenioglossa, Ampullariidae. The transcript is spliced from 3 exons.
AAGACGGCAAUCGAAAAAUGAUUGCAUCCUAUAAAAUAUGGAGUGACGUGCGUUUUAAGUGUAAUGGUUAUCAGUUGCCUUAAAAUGCCUUGGAUAUGUUUAGUCUAGCGAGCACCUUACUAUAGUGCACACGAGACUAAACAAAUCAGAUCUUUAUUUGAGCUUGAAAGCCCGCAGGAAGAAGGACAUGCAUUAAGCAUAUGGAGCGUGGAUGUGAAGACGUGCUGUUUACUUUCACACAAAUCAUAUAACGUGCUUACCGUGUAUUCUUUACUUGGGAAUAACGAUACUAUAAAGGCAUUUAUGUGUAAUGUUGCAUUGACAUUUGACUUCAGUUCUCGAGACUUCUUUGAAGCAAUGUUGUUGUUUCAUUAGGUGAACACGCAGACAGAUCUGAACCCGAUCAGCAUUCUAGGGCUCCCUUUGAAGAACAAUUUGCAGUUUUUAUAGUUUCUUGUUUUCACUUGUUCCGUUGCUUCUAUUGACAUCACUCUGAAGUAUUUGUUUUUGAAAGCAGAACAAGAUAAAAGAACUCAAAUCGGUGAAUGAAAAAAAUCGCUUAGUUUAUUUUAUCUUUUUCAUUCGUCCAGAUAAACAAAUGCUUCAAUAGAACUUUUUUCUUAUUGAUGGAUAUGGCUCUAUCACAUCAACAUUUCAAGAUGACACUGAAAAUGUUUAGGUAAUAGACAAUCCUCACCUGGUCAGGGCAAAAAAUCUCAAACAGAUCGGCCCACAAGAGGUAUAACAGACAAGGAGCAACUCGAGCUAUAACCGAUAACAAAAAAUCAACAGGUCGACCCACAAUAACAGACAAGCUACAGGUCAGCCCACAAUAAAUAACAAGCACACAAAGGCCCACAGUGUUAUAGAGCUGAGAGCAUUGUUGGCUUGUGGACCAGCGCUAUGCUUCUAUUCCACACAUGCUUUCCCUAAAGUGGAUAUUGGUCAACACAGCUGAUUUCCAAGUGCUUCGGUCGUUCGUCACGCCAAGAAAACCUAUGAUUUUAAAGGCUUGACCCGAGUCUAAAACUGGUCACAUUUAGCCGCACUCGAGUAUACCUUUCCCUUACUCGGCUUGUUAGUUUAAUCCUCAUUAUCAAGGAACGCUUUCUUAUCGUGGGCGUUCAAACCUCUCCGUGAAAUUGCCUCCUGGAUCGGGUAGCACACGCUCGCGCGGGGAGGGAAGGGAAAAGAGGUGGUGCAGGCGUGAUGGUGGUGGCGGCGGAUUAAUGCAGUGUUUAUUGCCAAGGUAAUCAAGGCGGGCGGCGUGUUUGCCCCUCGUGGAGCGUACUCCACGCAGCAUACGUCAGCCCAUCGAUCAGCCCGCGUGUGGUCACCUCUAAAGGGGCGUGCAGGCCAGCACGAGGCUCGCGUUCUCGCAUUCUCGCGUUUCCGCUCUCGUCGCGCCUGGCAUGUCGGGACACUUGGUGACAAAGCGCGCUGACGUCAGCCUAUGGUAACCGACACCGUCGUUCUUCUCGUCUGCACGGCAGGCGGCAACCGGUUGAAUGUCAUUUGAAAAGGUAAUUUAGAUCCACGGGCCUGUCACUGCGCAAUAUCGCCGAAGCUGGGUCGGUUCGAAUAUAUGCUGUGAAUCAAGAGACAAGGACGGUCUGGAAUGGAGCCACGCAGCUAGCACCCUUCACCACUCACGCCUGAAAUGCAAAAGUAUGGCGCAAGCUUAGUUUAUACAAACGGUUCUACUGUGCGGCCAGCAUGGCAAAGUGACUCAACACUUCUGGUCAGUGUCCACACACCUCCAUCCCACGGGGCAGCUGUCAGCGGAAGUUUGACCGAACCAGCGGCACAUUUUGGUGGGAGUAGGUGGGAGUAGGAAACCACCGAUUUAUCAUACUGAGGCACACUAUAUACAAAAUAAGCAUUUAGUAUCUUUGGUAUGACUGUCUGACCUCGUUGCGUAAUCCCCGGUGUCAUGUUCUCAGAAAUCCCCCUGCCUCAGAAAUCCACCUUUAGAUAUGCAUUCGUCCUGUUUAAAUAUAAUUUAAUCGGACCUGUUUCUUGGAGGAAGAUACCUUUGUCAAAGUCUAGAUGAAUACUAUGCCAUUGCUCACAUUACGUAUGUAGUUUUAUCGAACAGCACAUGUGAUUUUACUAUCAUACCAAAGAAGACCACACGUCACAUUACUUGAUGGCAGGUGCAUCGACUUUCCUAUCAAAGUUCCCCUGACGUCAUGCCUCGCAACAAGAUUAAACGUGGCAUUAAAAGAGGACGGCAGCAACGAUACUUCAAAUGUUUGUGAUCUUAGCUGGAGGUCGGAGUCACCCAGGGAUGAUUUAUGCUGCAGAAGUUUGAGGUGGUGAGUAGUAGUAGAUGGAGAAGCAGAAUCUGGCGAUCGUGAACAAAACGAUCACGAGCAACACAAUAACUUUCCAUUUAAAAAGUUGAAAGAAGUUAAUUGCAAGCUAUGAAGAAUGGACUGUUCAGACCUAUUGACCUAGACUGAGUAUUGAAGGAGCGUUCCUUCAUGUUUCCUUCUUUGUUUAUUGUUUCAAACUGUAGCAGGCAUUUACUGUUCUACCCGUCGAUCCGAUCAAAACAUGGGUCUAAGAUCUUUACAAUUAAAAUUUCUUCAAAGGACACGGCAACUUUUAGACAGUUUUUUGGUUAAAAAGGGAUUCCGUUAUAUUAAACAGCCAUUUACAUUCCUAGAAUUCAAAUGAAAAUAAGAAAGCCAUCCAACGUGCAGAUGCCAGAUACAGGAUGGUUAUCAACGGGACAGGCUUGCGGUCUCUCAAUGUCGAGUCUUACUACUGAAGUAUCGUCUGCACGGAUCACACUUAUCUGCAUCUUGCGCGCCUAUUAAAUAUUUGCACCUCACCAUUUAUCGUCCUUAUCAUAUAGGGAACAUUAAAUGUGCAGUUUGAAAAGGAUGUUUGAACAAUUUCUUCAUAUCUUUUGAAAUAUCUAGCUUCUAGCUAGGCGACUGUUGUAUGACAUGUGAUUCAGGGGGGAAGGCAUGAAAACAUUUCAAAACACUAAGAAUAGAAUAAGGACGCAGAAGACGACUUUCAUUGCAUCCUUCAGUAUAACAAAUUUGUUAAACAUUUCAACAAAUAUACGUUCCAAAAGCUUCUCUGUGCAAAAAGUAAUAUAAAAUGUUGUAUAAAAUGUCAAUUCCUUGCACUACUGCUUGAAAGUAUAUCCUAAAAUGGCCAGCCUGCUUCUUCCUUACAUACCUCACUCAUCAUUCACACUCAAAGUCAGGAUUUAAACGUUC